Long non-coding RNA from Branchiostoma floridae (Florida lancelet), 1139 nucleotides. RefSeq lists it as uncharacterized. Lineage: Eukaryota; Metazoa; Chordata; Leptocardii; Amphioxiformes; Branchiostomatidae. The record is from RefSeq and is a predicted model, not a curated record. The transcript is spliced from 2 exons.
GUUCUGACAUAGUGAGAAGUACACUGGUGGGGAAGCGCAAUGCUUUAUGGUUAACUAGGCUUGUUACAAGAUGGCCGCCAUCCAAGAUGGCGGCUCUUGGUGGAAACCCGAAGUGGGUGCAAGAAAACAGACCACUGCUCACCGGGAUGGUCAUGGAUGACUACGCACAAGUUGAAGGACAGAAAAUUAUUGGUUUGCUCUGAACCAGGACUGUGGAGUUCAAUACAGCCUUACAUCAGAUUUUCUCACCAACCCUGUUAUGAUUCACAGACCUGGAAUACUCACUGAAUGAAAACAUCAAUACAUACAUAUUUUAUAGCUACUGUGUAUUUAAGUUGUGUGUUUACUAUUUGCAUUGGUGAUGAUUUGUAAUUUAUUUCUAUGAUUUGUUAUACCUCUUUUCCAACUUUACCCUACUGUCUUUGAUUGAAAGGAGGCUGGAUAAAGACAGUGUAUUGUUGUGCAUUGUAAUGCUCAAUGUUAUGAACCAAUGAUGUCUUACCUGAAAGUGUAACUUGAAAAAUAUAUAUAGUAUAUCUGUAUUAGCUUGAAAUAGUAGAAUUGACAUUAGUAUAGGACUGAAACAAAUGUACUUUAUCUAUUGUGUGUCCAUUGUUUUCUUUUCCAUUGGCAUGGAGGAAUAUCCUAGCCUGUGUGCUAUCCUAGUUAGAUUACCAAGGCUCCUAUACCUCUCCCCCAUACAUAGGGAAUUGUAGGGGCCUUAGCAAACAAGGAUUGUGCAGCAUAUUACCCUGUGGUAUCUUUAUAUCUUAGACAACUUUGUGUAAUAUCUGAUGCAUUGUGAUCAGUAUCACUAUAAUAGGAACUACUGGUUUGAUAUUACAUUUCAUCACCUUAUGUUAGGUCUAUUGUAUGUUACCACUUUUUGUAUAUUUCUUUUGACACACAUUAAAACAUAUUUUCUGAUGCACACUAAAUGAUAUUGUUUAAGGCACAAAUGGUAAGAUGAACCUGGCAAGUCUGUUACCAACUACAUGUGUUACAUCAAAUUCAAUAUCAGUAGUACAAAUGAAUGAAUCUACAGUAUUCUAUAAAGAGAUAUCUAUGAAAUAUAAUAUUGGGAAAAUAAUAUGAAUAAAAGUUUUAAACAUAGAAUUUAUACUUUAAACAAGAAGAUA